GGGAUGGUAGCUCAGUGGUAGAGCGCUAGCCUUGCAUGCAUGAAGCCCUGGGUUCGAUUCCUCAUCACCACA
Molecule: non-coding RNA, 72 nt
Organism: Dipodomys ordii (Ord's kangaroo rat)
Lineage: Eukaryota; Metazoa; Chordata; Mammalia; Rodentia; Heteromyidae
Source: Rfam